Molecule: ribosomal RNA, 182 nt
Filed under: uncultured Pezizales
Lineage: Eukaryota; Fungi; Ascomycota; Pezizomycetes; Pezizales
Description: partial 28S ribosomal RNA
Source: RNAcentral
UGGAUGCCCACACCUUGAACUGUGUGCGCACCGCCCAAAUCCGAUGUCCGCGAGCCUGAGGAAUGCAGCCGACGUAGUGAGAUUCAAUCUCGUUUGCUGUAAAACCUGACAGAGGCAACGGGACCUUAAGCGUUAUGCGCCAACAUCAGACGGUUGAACUUCGGAUCAGGUAGGAAAACCCC